Long non-coding RNA from Onychostoma macrolepis, 905 nucleotides. RefSeq lists it as uncharacterized. The transcript is spliced from 3 exons. The record is from RefSeq and is a predicted model, not a curated record. NCBI's taxonomy places the organism in Eukaryota, Metazoa, Chordata, Actinopteri, Cypriniformes, Cyprinidae.
CUGAGUUUGAGACCAAUGCAUUAGAGUGUGUGCUUUUGUUCAAGCAAACAAGAUGAAAAACACAGCAGUAUUACUAGGGAUGAAUUAUGGACCAGGCAACAAAAAUAUACAUUAUAUUUUAAUCAGAAUAAACUCAUUUACACUUCAUCAGGAAAUCUAGAAACCAAAUCACAGGAAACAGAACAGCCGCAGUAAAGAUGAAACCUGAACCAAGAACAACUGAAAACGAGGACUACAAAUACAAACGAGAUAAAAGACACAGUUGGACUAUAACCCAAAGGUCGCAGGUUCGAGUCUCAGGUCCGGCAGGGAUUGUAUGUGUGAAUAACCAGCGCUCUCUUCCACCUUCAAUACCACGACUGAGGUCUACCUCUUCCUCUCCUCGGGGGACAACAAGAGAUCAACUUAUACAGAACAGUGUCUUCUUUUAUUUGUUGAACUGUUUGCAUCAUUUCUAGUGUUAAUGAAGGAUUGAGUUUGUGUUUAUCGUCCUGAUGAACUGCAGCUCACAUGAUUCAUGUUCAAAUAUAAGAAUAACAUUAAAAUAAAAAAACACUGAGAAAUUCAAAAACAGAUAAAUGUAUUAUCAGAUUCCCAGGCUGAACAAAGGAAACACAAUCAGAUGAAUGGUGUUUAGAGGGUGCAAACACACCACAGUGCAGACGAUAAACCACAGAAACCACCAUUGCAUGAGAAGUGCUUUCUAAAAACAAACAUUCACAUUCACAGCUGACGUGUUAAAGUUCGUCACAAAUGACACAUUUUUUGAAACCUUCACUCAUUUCUUCCAGCUCUUACAGUCCUCAUCCUCCUCGGAUUGUUUCAGUCCAUUGUUCGCAUCACAUCCAGUGAUCUGUUCGCUCUGAAAUGCUUGUAUUUUGAAGAGUUGCUUUAAUCACAUGAUU